UACGUAGGUGGCAAGCGUUGUCCGGAAUUAUUGGGCGUAAAGAGCGCGUAGGCGGUCCGAUAAGUCGGCUGUGAAAGUCCAGGGCUCAACCCUGGAAAGCCGGCCGAUACUGUCGGACUAGAGUCCGGAAGAGGCAAGUGGAAUUCCCGGUGUAGCGGUGAAAUGCGCAGAUAUCGGGAGGAACACCAAUUGCGAAGGCAGCUUGCUGGGACGGUACUGACGCUGAGGCGCGAAAGCGUGGGGAGCGAACAGG
Molecule: ribosomal RNA, 253 nt
Filed under: uncultured bacterium
Lineage: Bacteria
Description: partial 16S ribosomal RNA
Rfam family: Bacterial small subunit ribosomal RNA
Source: RNAcentral